AAUAGGAGAAUGACAAAUCAAAUUUUUCUUCUGAUUUUUAGCUUUUUCAGUUGUAUUUGAAAUUUUCAUGAGGAAAAAGCUGAGAAUUAGGAGGAAAAAACUGAAAAUCAGGAGGAAGAAUUUGAUUUGUCAUCCUCCUAUU
Gossypium raimondii (Peruvian cotton) is the source of this 142-nucleotide non-coding RNA. Lineage: Eukaryota; Viridiplantae; Streptophyta; Magnoliopsida; Malvales; Malvaceae. The record is from Rfam.